UUCUCGCCAGACCAAAACUCUGCGUGACCGAAGAUCAUAUGACAUGUUGUUCACAGUGCCACCUAGUGGCGACGUGUUGAAGUGAGGCAGUGUCAUCGUCGGAGGCGAUGCCAGCCUGGCAUUGCCAGGCUCCCGCGGUCGCUCUACAGGCCGAGUUGCGCUGAGGUGCGAGGGCCUUCAAGGCUGCUUGCUGCUUUAAUUGGUGUUGUUUUUCUCGCAGAAGUGUCAGACGCAAUUUUAAUCUGUCUGCUAUAAAGACAUCUUAUUUUGGCGGAUCUGGUGGUUCCUCCUUAAUGACAUCAUUUCCUCUAUUUCGUGUCUGCUGUGGCUGCGGCGUCAGCUUCUGCAAACUGUCUCUAUUAGCACGGAAGAAUACGUGAGGGAUGGUACUAUUUCAGCAUUGCUGGUUCCUCCCGUUCACUACCCUCUUGUGUUUUCUGCUGGCUUUAUGUUUCCUCGUGGGAAAACUCAUCCACAGACCGUGACAUUCAGGACUGUUUUCUAAGAGCAGUCGACUUUAACACAUUUGACCUCCCCACUCUGACACUGACUGCUUCACCUCAGUGGCCCGGUCAGCUGCCAGCUGGAGCUGCUACAGACGUGCACAGCACAACCCCGAUGACACUCAGUACGCUGCUAAAAAUGGCCAGCGAGAGGCUGAUCGCUGGUCACUGGGGAGCGCGAGAGCACAGCUGUCUACAAUAGAGGAGAAUAUAAAGAGGCUGCAUUAAACUGGGUUAAUGUGACCUUCUGUGCUUGAAUCUUGGCACCAAGAGAGAGAUGCGCCCCAGAGGUAACUUAAGGUUAAAUCCUCUCAUUUUAACAUGAGAUAUGACUGUUAUAUUUAAUUUUUUCAGGAUGACAGCACACAAUUUGCCUUUAUUUUGUUUUUGUUUUUUGCUAACCAGAAGCUCUCAUAUAUUUACUUGCUUGUUUAAAGUGUUUGACAGACAGUAACCAUGUCCUGAUUUCAUCCAGAUUUCCGCAUGAGUCAGUCCAACAUCACUUCUCGCGGGUUAAAGUAAAUGAAAACAUCCGGGUGAGCUGACAAACUAUGGCAGUUCGGUGUUGUGCACGGCAACAUAAAUAAUUCAUCAGACAUGUAAUGGAUUGUGGUCUCAGGCUUGUAAGUGAAUCAUUCCUGACAUAUGCACAAUUUCACUUUGGUGGCGUGUUCACGUAAACACGCCUCACAUGACAAUAAUGGCUCAUGACAGGGCCUGGCCACAGUGUGAAAGCAGCAGUUCUUAUUCUGGGGUGCAUAAAGAUAAAGUGCUUGUCAGGAGCAGGAUGGUCAUCUGUAUGGAAAACUUUGAGACUCAUCAAGGUGUCAGACUCAAACAACUGCUGAGAAAUUUCCACCCAGCAGUCGCUUUAGCAAAGAUAAAGCCAUUGACAAAUAUCUCCAUUUAAUAACUGACUGAGCCACAACAUGGGAUCUGACAAACUGUUAAAGUCCUCUGGCAAAUGCAAGAUGUAUGUCUAUAUCUAGUCAACCAUUCAGGAAAAAACGGACUUCUCCUGCAGCUUCUAGUUUGUCUGUCAGCAGCUGACAGAGAUGAGAGUGAUUCAUGGCGACGUGUCUGUUUGUCACGCUAUCGACCAAAAACAGAGACGACAGCCAAAACAAAGCCUCCACACUAUUACUGAAGUUAAAUAUUUAUCAGAAGCAACUAGCUACAUGCAUGUUAAUUAGAAAUUAUAACUCAUUUGCUGUAUGAACAUGGUCAGUAAAAAACUAAUUAUUAAAGUAGGAAAUUAUGGCUUGUUUAGUUGACUGACAAAAAGCAUCAUUAUUUCACUUCAUAUUCACCAGAUGUUUUAAAAAUGCUGAUCUGUCUACAUACGGACAUAUUUCUCUAACUUUUUCACUGGAUAAAGCUGUGAGCUUGUUAACUCCUUACAGACGAUCUCUGUUUUAGUUUAUUUUGGCAAACUUAACAUGUUUCUGAUCAGCAAACUAAAAGUUUUUCAAAAUACUAAAUGCAAAACAGCUUAUACUGUUAUAAUGUGCUGUUAACAUCAUUUUUUUACAUUUGGUGUGACUGCUUUUAUUUGUCCUUUUUACUACCCUGUUCUUAUUACAUAAUGGAUGUCAUAUUGAUUUUGUUGUCAUUACAUAAGAUUAGGUUCUGCUGUUUGUGAUUUGAAAUGCCUCAAAAGAAGGACAUGUCUCUAUAAUAUUUGCCUUUAAUGUUUUAAAAAUCCAAUGCCACAGUAUAUGAUUUCCAUCUAUGCUUCAAUUUUUUUUGGACAUUUUACUGUGGAGUUUUUAACAGUGUCAAAGAGGAUAAACACAUUACACAGGUACGCAUUACAUGUAGUCUAAAGAGGAUGUAAAAAGUUUAAACCCCACACAUGGUAAAGUUACAACGUCAAAGCUUUAUAAAGCCCGAGGUUUAAAACUAAAGGGGGUUAAUAAUAAAUCCCCUCUAAAGACCGUGAUGAAAAAUAAAAGUAACAGUAAAAUUACCAUGUUAUUUCCAUUUAUUAUUGACCCCAAGCAGUAUGGCAUGUGUGUGUACUAACUCAAACGUCAUCCUUGAUCAGUACCAUGAAAGCACAUGAAGCUAAAGCUGCUAUCAAUCAUGAGGCUUUUGAUCUACUAAAUUCAAAAGCUGUUUAAAAAUAGAUAUUUCCAGUCUGUUGGAAGAACUGACUGACUUUUUCGCUCCUAAUAAAGUCACAACAUGUUUGUCAAUUUUCUCCUCAGGAGGACCUUUAUUAAACCGCAUCCUGCUAAAUAGACCCUUGAUUAGAACAUUUCCUGACUUCUGCUGCUGCCUGUUGAGCUGCUUUUGGUGAGAUGAAACACUAAGAAGCCUCUAAAAUAUUCAAUUUCCAACUGUAGAGAAAGUUCCUACAAACAAACAAGCAAAAGUUGUCUACAGACUAAAACACGUGUCAGUAAUGUUCAGUAUGUUAUUUUUUUAUAUUCAAUUUUUUUUAGGAAGUAUUAGACACAAAAACCUUUUUCUAUUGUUAUGAUAAAGAACUUCUGUUUUUAUUGACACUUUCCUUGUGAUCAUUCUUGAGCUUGAUACAUUUAACCAUUAAAAGAACAUAAAUUCCAGUUAAAGUUCCUUCCUUUGGUCUAGUUGAAAUGAAUUCACAGUAAUGCUAGGAAGUCAGUGCAGGAAGAUCUGGCAGCUCCUAGGCUAGUUGCCAUGCAGUGACUUGCAAAACUAAAUACCAAUUCAUGCUUUUCACAUUUUGUCAGGUUAUAACCAUGUUACAGACCAACACAACAUAUAACAUCCUUGGGAAGAGGAAAGGAAAUGAUAAAUAGUUUUCUAUUUCUUUUUUACAUGUAAUAAUCUGAAAAGAGUAUUGUGCAUUUGUAUUCUUCAGUUACAGAUUCUUUGCAAAAUUGCCCAAGUCCUGUCACAAAUCGAUGGGGAGCAGCUGUUAACAUUCAUUUUCUAGUCUAGUUACAAAUUCUGUGCUGGAUUUAGGUCUCAACUUUGAUAAGGCCAUUCUGACACAUUAAUAUGCCUUUAUCUAAACUAUUCUGCCUAUUUGUUUAGAGUUGUUGUCAAGGUGAAAGGUGAACGUCCAUCUCAGCCUCAAGUCUUUUGCAGCCUUUAACGAGUUUUCAGGUAUAUUGCAUGCACACAUAUACAUGUAGGCCAAAAGUUACAUUUUGGUCUCGUCUGACCAGAGCAUCUUCUUCCACAUGUUUCCUCUGUCCUCUGCAUGGCUUGUGGAAAACUGCAAGCAUUACAUUUCAUAGUUUUCUUUCAACAAUGUGUCUGGACAUCUGGAGUGUUCCUUGGUCCUCAUGACGCUCUUUGUUCAAUAAUGUUAUCUGGCAAACGUUUCCUCAAAGAAUAGCUGAAUUUAUACUGAGAUUUAAUUACACACAUUGCCACAUUGUUUCAAAAUGUUCUGUUAGAAAUUGUUGGUGUCCUACAUAAAAUUCAAAAUCGAUCCAAAUGGAUUGUGGUUGAAAUGUGACAAAAAGUGGUAUCAAUACUUUUGCAAGGCACUUUAAAUACCGUUCUCUUGUAGUUUUCAGAACAAAACGUAAUCGUCCUAAAUCCCCCCCAUUCUUCACUUAUCUCCACUGCAGUGAAGUAGGCUCAAAGUUGCACCAUCUUCUUCACAGUGGUCAUAAAAAUGGCUUCAUUUCAUUGUUUCAGAACUUAGCUAAGUUUGGCAUUUAUAUUCAUCCUGCUUGAACGCCUUCAUUAAAAGCGUUGUCACAGCGAUGCUACAAGUAGUCACAUCCCUACCAACUCAUUUGCUCUCUGAGUGAAGCCACUUUGAUGAAAAUAUAAAACAUAAUCUCCUUUGGAGAUUUUUGCAUGCAGGCUUUCAUUUUAUCACACUUAGACUGGCUGUGUAUUGAAACAAAAAGUAAUCUCGAUCCAGCAGCAGAUAAUCAAACCUAACAGACAGAAACUCGCUGUAUUCCUGCUGUUUGGAUCUCAGGAGAGGAAAUUGGAAGAUGUUUUUUAAAACCUCCCAGUGGAUUGAUGCAGAGUCUGAAAGCAAUGCAAAAUGCCCUCCGGAUGGCUUGAUUUUUGUAUUUAUCAAAUGUUGCAGUCUCCCUCCGAGCAAUCACACCAAGAGAACGACAAGGGCUAAAAACAGAAACAGCUUUAAGCUGGACUCUGGAUGUGGAUUUCUAUUUCUAAGGAAUAUGGCGUCAUUUGUGAAAAUACACUUUUUUGUGAAAAGAAGACUGCAGAUUUGAAUCCCAUUUCUGAGUUGUUCAAACUUUGAAUCAGAUGGAACAACCCUGAUAAAACUGAGUUUAGCUGUAAUGCACUGAGUAGCAGAUAUUUCAGAAAUUUACACAUCUACACUGUUCUCUGUGCAGUUUUAAAAAAGGAGCAUGAUUUUCUAAAGCAUGAACUUCAGUAUGUGAAUCAGGUAAUUGUAUUUGCAACUAUACUGUUAUGCAAAAAUAUUCAUGACCCUUCCACUAUUCCAUUUUUUAUCACAUUGUUAUUUCAAACUUUAAUGUAAUGUAUCAGGAUUAUGAUGAAUCAACAAAAAGUAGCGUAUAAUUAUAAAGUUAAAACAAAAGCAUAAAUGAUUUUCAAAUAAAUUUUGCAUAUAAAAAUUGAAAAAAUGUGUGACAUGCAUUUAUAUUAGGCCCGCCUUACUCUGACAACCGGAUUAAACCCUGUGGAAUCAACUGCCUUCAGGAGGUACCUAAUUACUAAAUACAGUCACCUCGGUGCAAUUUAAUCUUGGUAUAAAUGCAUCUGUUCUGUGAAGGUCUUAGAAGUUUGUUAGAGAACAUUGGUGAUGAGCAGAUGGAUGGUGUUAAAUAAAGGGCACUUCAAAAAGAAACCCUGUUAGAGGCUGCCAAAGACUUGAGACUGGGGUGGAUCUUAACUGUCCCACAGGUCAUCCUCCCUCAACAUUCAACAUACAGCCAGAGCUACAACGGAACGGUUUCGAUCAAAGGAUAUUCAUGUGUUAGAAUAGCCCAGUCAAAGCCCAGACCUAAAUGUAAUUGAGAAUCUGUGGUAAGACCUGAAAAUUGAUGUUCACAGAUGUCCUCAAUUUGACAAAGCUUGAGCUAUUUUGCAAAGUCAAACUGGCAUAAAUCUCAGUAUCUAAAAGACUUGCAGCUGCAAAUGCAGAAAAAGGUAGUUGACAAGUGACAAAAUGUGAAAAAGAUCAACCUGUAUGAAUACUUUUACAAGGUGCUGUGUGUCUGAGGUGGAUUUAACAAGGAUAUUUGUAUUUCAGCAGCACUCCAGAGAAAUGUAAAAUAGAAAUGAGUGUGCAUAUUAGCUGGGAAGCUAAUCAAAGUUUAGUUUAUGACUCCACAGAUAGGCUCAUGAGGGAGCACAAUCGUCCCAGAUUCAUGGCAGAAAUAAUCUUAUUGAAAGGCAAAAAGAAGUUAACUUUAAAGAAACCAAAGUUAAUCAUGUGAAUAAAAUGGAAUGUGGAGAUGUCAUUUGCAGGCGUUCUCUCCUAAAUCUCAUACAGUAUAAUCAUUUAGUUCUGUGGUAAUGACAGCGGGACCAAGGUUCAGCUCUGACAAAACAUGAGCUCAUCUUAACUUUUCAUGCCAAAGUAAAUCACUGAACAAGACAAAUGCAUGUUAUUUUAUUUCAGCUGUUUUCUCCUUUAGUAAAACUUGAUUUUAUUUGAUAAAACCACUUUUUAUGAUGAACAGAACUAAUCAAAUAAAACAGUAGCAAAACUUUGUUUGGCUUCUGGACUUUGAAAGUGCUGUAUCAAGAAAAAAUACCGUUCUAGGCUUUUUUAUUGAUUAUUCUUCGGUCUAUUACAUAGCAGGUAAUACAUCAAAACCCAAAGGAAACCUCGAGAGACUCUGAGCUUCUGGCCCGCACCAUAUUAGACCAGGCUAUCUAUAUACAGUGUGGGGAUAAGCAGCUGAGAC
Long non-coding RNA from Girardinichthys multiradiatus, 6370 nucleotides. RefSeq lists it as uncharacterized. The transcript is spliced from 3 exons. NCBI's taxonomy places the organism in Eukaryota, Metazoa, Chordata, Actinopteri, Cyprinodontiformes, Goodeidae. The record is from RefSeq and is a predicted model, not a curated record.